RNAcentral lists this long non-coding RNA (719 nucleotides) under Marmota monax (woodchuck). The record is from RNAcentral. Lineage: Eukaryota; Metazoa; Chordata; Mammalia; Rodentia; Sciuridae.
CUGCAGGCUCUGGAGAAAAUGGUCCCAAAGAGUGGGACAGGUAAAGGGCUGUGGAAUUUUGAUCAACUUAGAACUGAUCUCUUAAACUUUCUCUUUAAGUCACCAAACAUUUACCAAAUUCCUUUAGGCGAGGCCUCUAAUGAUUUACUUCCUUUGCCUGUCCCAGGGAAGGCAUGAUAACUAUUUAUUGACUACUCUGGCACCCCUUACCGUAUUUACAAAACACUGUGCUUCAGCUGAAGUUAGGGAGGGACAUAUUUGGAGAAACUAUUGUGUUCACCACAUCUCUGUACUAGAAAGAUCUGACUUGAGGUUUUAAAAUUGUGUUUCCUAAGUAUUUGCCUUGACCUUUUGUGUCUGACUUUCUCUCUCUCUCUCUCUCUCUCUCUCUGUCAUUUGUUCAUUCCUACUCAUGCAAACCAUUUCUCCUCCUCCACUAUCAGUCAGGUGGCUUGGCCUAAUGGACUAUCUUUCUCUAAUAGGAACACAGCAGUUUGCAAAGCUUGCCUUGCGAGAGCUUCCCUUCACUCUCUACAUGUGGCACGUGUACGUGAGGGCAGUCACACCCUCACAGGCCUGCAGGCUGAAAAGAAGCUUCUAAAAGUGGGAAGUGUGGAGUGAACAGCUGUGCUGUGCUCCAGCUGUUCCCACAUUGUGGAUGGCACUCUCAAAGGACAAGGCACAAUGGCUGUAGUCCAUAUAUGAUGCAUAUAUUACAC